Caenorhabditis elegans is the source of this 178-nucleotide non-coding RNA. Lineage: Eukaryota; Metazoa; Nematoda; Chromadorea; Rhabditida; Rhabditidae. The record is from Ensembl.
UUUGGAAUUUUGGAAUUUUUGGAAUUUUUGGAAUUUUGGAAUUUUUGGAAUUUUUGGAAUUUUUGGAUGUUUAGGAAUUUGAGAAUUUUUGGAAUUUUUGGAAUUUCGGAAUUUGGAAUUUUUGGAUGUUUUAGAAUUUUGGAACUUUUAAAACAUUUUAGUUUGGAAAUUUUAGAAU